This 740-nucleotide ribosomal RNA is filed under the name Bacillus tequilensis. RNAcentral describes it as "bacterial SSU rRNA". It matches the Rfam family "Bacterial small subunit ribosomal RNA", at positions 73 to 797 of the family's 1533-position model. RNAcentral also lists the same sequence under 1 other name. The record is from RNAcentral. Lineage: Bacteria; Bacillati; Bacillota; Bacilli; Caryophanales; Bacillaceae.
UGGGAGCUUGCUCCCUGAUGUUAGCGGCGGACGGGUGAGUAACACGUGGGUAACCUGCCUGUAAGACUGGGAUAACUCCGGGAAACCGGGGCUAAUACCGGAUGGUUGUUUGAACCGCAUGGUUCAGACAUAAAAGGUGGCUUCGGCUACCACUUACAGAUGGACCCGCGGCGCAUUAGCUAGUUGGUGAGGUAACGGCUCACCAAGGCGACGAUGCGUAGCCGACCUGAGAGGGUGAUCGGCCACACUGGGACUGAGACACGGCCCAGACUCCUACGGGAGGCAGCAGUAGGGAAUCUUCCGCAAUGGACGAAAGUCUGACGGAGCAACGCCGCGUGAGUGAUGAAGGUUUUCGGAUCGUAAAGCUCUGUUGUUAGGGAAGAACAAGUGCCGUUCAAAUAGGGCGGCACCUUGACGGUACCUAACCAGAAAGCCACGGCUAACUACGUGCCAGCAGCCGCGGUAAUACGUAGGUGGCAAGCGUUGUCCGGAAUUAUUGGGCGUAAAGGGCUCGCAGGCGGUUUCUUAAGUCUGAUGUGAAAGCCCCCGGCUCAACCGGGGAGGGUCAUUGGAAACUGGGGAACUUGAGUGCAGAAGAGGAGAGUGGAAUUCCACGUGUAGCGGUGAAAUGCGUAGAGAUGUGGAGGAACACCAGUGGCGAAGGCGACUCUCUGGUCUGUAACUGACGCUGAGGAGCGAAAGCGUGGGGAGCGAACAGGAUUAGAUACCCUGGUAGUCCA